Non-coding RNA from Mycena polygramma, 87 nucleotides. Lineage: Eukaryota; Fungi; Basidiomycota; Agaricomycetes; Agaricales; Mycenaceae. The record is from the annotation of a GenBank genome assembly.
UCACGGGUAGUGUAGUGGUACCACACUCUCCUUUCAAAUUACUUUGAAAUCACGAAAGAAACCGGGGUUCGAGUCCUCGCCUGUGGC